UCUCCUGGAAACGGGUGGUAAUGCCGGAUGCUCCAGUUGACCGCAUGGUCCUCUGGGAAAGCUUUUGCGGUAUGGGAUGGGGUCGCGUCCUAUCAGCUUGAUGGCGGGGUAACGGCCCACCAUGGCUUCGACGGGUAGCCGGCCUGAGAGGGCGACCGGCCACAUUGGGACUGAGAUACGGCCCAGACUCCUACGGGAGGCAGCAGUGGGGAAUAUUGCACAAUGGGCGCAAGCCUGAUGCAGCGACGCCGCGUGCGGGAUGACGGCCUUCGGGUUGUAAACCGCUUUUGACUGGGAGCAAGCCCUUCGGGGUGAGUGUACCUUUCGAAUAAGCACCGGCUAACUACGUGCCAGCAGCCGCGGUAAUACGUAGGGUGCAAGCGUUAUCCGGAAUUAUUGGGCGUAAAGGGCUCGUAGGCGGUUCGUCGCGUCCGGUGUGAAAGUCCAUCGCUUAACGGUGGAUCCGCGCCGGGUACGGGCGGGCUUGAGUGCGGUAGGGGAGACUGGAAUUCCCGGUGUAACGGUGGAAUGUGUAGAUAUCGGGAAGAACACCACCCC
RNAcentral lists this ribosomal RNA (558 nucleotides) under Bifidobacterium adolescentis. RNAcentral's name for it is "partial 16S ribosomal RNA". It matches the Rfam family "Bacterial small subunit ribosomal RNA", at positions 146 to 715 of the family's 1533-position model. The record is from RNAcentral. Lineage: Bacteria; Bacillati; Actinomycetota; Actinomycetes; Bifidobacteriales; Bifidobacteriaceae.